This 492-nucleotide ribosomal RNA is filed under the name uncultured bacterium. RNAcentral's name for it is "partial 16S ribosomal RNA". It matches the Rfam family "Bacterial small subunit ribosomal RNA", at positions 29 to 507 of the family's 1533-position model. The record is from RNAcentral.
AGUGAACGCUGGCGGUAGGCCUAACACAUGCCAGUCGAACGGCAGCACAGUAAGAGCUUGCUCUUACGGGUGGCGAGUGGCGGACGGGUGAGGAAUACAUCGGAAUCUACUUUUUCGUGGGGGAUAACGUAGGGAAACUUACGCUAAUACCGCAUACGACCUACGGGUGAAAGCAGUGGCUCUUCGGACCUUGCGCGAUUGAAUGAGCCGAUGUCGGAUUAGCUAGUUGGCGGGGUAAAGGCCCACCAAGGCGACGAUCCGUAGCUGGUCUGAGAGGAUGAUCAGCCACACUGGGACUGAAAGACGGUCCAGACUCCUACUGGAGGCAGCAGUGGGGAAUAUUGGACAAUGGGCGCAAGCCUGAUCCAGCCAUACCGCGUGGGUGAAGAAGGCCUUCGGGUUUUAAAGCCCCAUUGUUGGGAAAGAAAAGCAGCAGGUUAAUACCCCGCUGUUCUGACGGUACCCAAAGAAUAAGCACCGGCUAACUUCGUG